AUGGCGUUAGCCCCCACAUCUCUCCAGAGCUUCCUCACAGGGAGGCCCCUAUGCACGGCCCCGCAGCUCACGAGGUCGUCAAUUAGGCCGGCAUCGGCGAGGCUCUCUUGCAGGGCCUCCAACCAGAAGGACGCGCCUCCGUCGUGGGCCGGAGACCUCGAGCUGAAGAAUCUCGGGAGGCUGGCGAUGGUCGCCCUGGCCGCCGGCGUGCUCGUGCUCGCGCCCGUCGAUGACGCCAUGGCGGGCAAGUCAGGCGGCAGGAUCGGCGGGAAGGCGUUCCGUUCCGCGGCGCCGCGCUCGUCCGGUCCAAGGAUAAACAACUCAAGGACGAACAUCUACGUCAAUCCCGGCGUGGCGCCACCGCUGGUCGGCGGCUACGGCUACGGUGGCUAUGGCGGGUACGGCUUGUCGCCGUUCGGCUUCUACGGUGGCCCGAGCGUCGCCCUCGGGGUCGGUGGCGGCUUCGACACGCUCGUCCUGUUCAUUGUGGGCGGGGCGGUCGUCGGCGCCGUCCGGCGGUUCCUCAACCGCAGGGAUAACGAUGAUUACGACGACUAA
RNAcentral lists this ribosomal RNA (558 nucleotides) under Triticum aestivum (bread wheat). Its description in RNAcentral is "partial small subunit ribosomal RNA". Lineage: Eukaryota; Viridiplantae; Streptophyta; Magnoliopsida; Poales; Poaceae. The record is from RNAcentral.